Molecule: ribosomal RNA, 483 nt
Filed under: uncultured bacterium
Lineage: Bacteria
Description: partial 16S ribosomal RNA
Rfam family: Bacterial small subunit ribosomal RNA
Source: RNAcentral
AUUGAACGCUGGCGGCAGGCCUAACACAUGCAAGUCGAGCGGAUGAAGGGAGCUUGCUCCUGGAUUCAGCGGCGGACGGGUGAGUAAUGCCUAGGAAUCUGCCUGGUAGUGGGGGAUAACGUCCGGAAACGGGCGCUAAUACCGCAUACGUCCUGAGGGAGAAAGUGGGGGAUCUUCGGACCUCACGCUAUCAGAUGAGCCUAGGUCGGAUUAGCUAGUUGGUGGGGUAAAGGCCUACCAAGGCGACGAUCCGUAACUGGUCUGAGAGGAUGAUCAGUCACACUGGAACUGAGACACGGUCCAGACUCCUACGGGAGGCAGCGGUGGGGAAUAUUGGACAAUGGGCGAAAGCCUGAGCCAGCCAUGCCGCGUGUGUGAAGAAGGUCUUCGGAUUGUAAAGCACUUUAAGUUGGGAGGAAGGGCAGUAAGUUAAUACCUUGCUGUUUUGACGUUACCAACAGAAUAAGCACCGGCUAACUUCGU